GACGAACGCUGGCGGCGUGCCUAAUACAUGCAAGUAGAACGCUGAAGGAGGAGCUUGCUCUUCUGGAUGAGUUGCGAACGGGUGAGUAACGCGUAGGUAACCUGCCUGGUAGCGGGGGAUAACUAUUGGAAACGAUAGCUAAUACCGCAUAACAUUGACUAUUGCAUGAUAGUCAAUUGAAAGGUGCAAAUGCACCACUACCAGAUGGACCUGCGUUGUAUUAGCUAGUUGGUGGGGUAACGGCUCACCAAGGCUACGAUACAUAGCCGACCUGAGAGGGUGAUCGGCCACACUGGGACUGAGACACGGCCCAGACUCCUACGGGAGGCAGCAGUAGGGAAUCUUCGGCAAUGGACGGAAGUCUGACCGAGCAACGCCGCGUGAGUGAAGAAGGUUUUCGGAUCGCAAAGCUCUGUUGUAAGAGAAGAACGAGUGUGAGAGUGGAAAGUUCACACUG
RNAcentral lists this ribosomal RNA (457 nucleotides) under Streptococcus cristatus. RNAcentral's name for it is "bacterial SSU rRNA". It matches the Rfam family "Bacterial small subunit ribosomal RNA", at positions 28 to 471 of the family's 1533-position model. The record is from RNAcentral. Lineage: Bacteria; Bacillati; Bacillota; Bacilli; Lactobacillales; Streptococcaceae.